This 465-nucleotide ribosomal RNA is filed under the name Vreelandella stevensii. Its description in RNAcentral is "partial 16S ribosomal RNA". It matches the Rfam family "Bacterial small subunit ribosomal RNA", at positions 338 to 795 of the family's 1533-position model. Lineage: Bacteria; Pseudomonadati; Pseudomonadota; Gammaproteobacteria; Oceanospirillales; Halomonadaceae. The record is from RNAcentral.
CCUACGGGUGGCUGCAGUGGGGAAUAUUGGACAAUGGGGGGAACCCUGAUCCAGCCAUGCCGCGUGUGUGAAGAAGGCCCUCGGGUUGUAAAGCACUUUCAGUGAGGAAGAACGCCUGGUGGUUAAUACCCAUCAGGAAAGACAUCACUCACAGAAGAAGCACCGGCUAACUCCGUGCCAGCAGCCGCGGUAAUACGGAGGGGUGCGAGCGUUAAUCGGAAUUACUGGGCGUAAAGCGCGCGUAGGUGGCUUGAUAAGCCGGUUGUGAAAGCCCCGGGCUCAACCUGGGAACGGCAUCCGGAACUGUCAGGCUAGGGGGCAGGAGAGGAAGGUAGAAUUCCCGGUGUAGCGGUGAAAUGGGUAGGGUUCGGGAGGAAUACAGGUGGCGAGGCGGCCUUCUGGACUGACACUGACACUGAGGUGCGAAAGCGUGGGUAGCAAACAGGAUUAGAUACCCCUGUAGUC